Oryza sativa Japonica Group (Japanese rice) is the source of this 188-nucleotide microRNA precursor. It matches the Rfam family "MIR812 microRNA precursor family". Lineage: Eukaryota; Viridiplantae; Streptophyta; Magnoliopsida; Poales; Poaceae. The record is from Rfam.
UUUAAAUAAAGCGAUGAGUUUCUGUGUCAAAUUUUAAUCAUUCGUCUUAUUUAAAAUAUUUUUAUAAUUAAUAUUUUUUUAUUAGAUGUUAAAAUAUAAAUAGUACUUUAUGCGUGAUUCAUAUUUUUUAUUUUUUAAAUAAGUCAGACAAUUAAAAUUGGACGAAGAAACUGAUAGCUGCAUCUAAA